UUAAGCGACUAAGCGUACACGGUGGAUGCCCUGGCAGUCAGAGGCGAUGAAGGACGUGCUAAUCUGCGAAAAGCGUCGGUAAGGUGAUAUGAACCGUUAUAACCGGCGAUGUCCGAAUGGGGAAACCCAGUGCGAUUCGUUGCACUAUCGUUAACUGAAUACAUAGGUUAACGAGGCGAACCGGGGGAACUGAAACAUCUAAGUACCCCGAGGAAAAGAAAUCAACCGAGAUUCCCCCAGUAGCGGCGAGCGAACGGGGAGCAGCCCAGAGUCUGAAUCAGCUUGUGUGUUAGUGGAACGGUCUGGAAAGUCCGACGGUACAGGGUGAUAGUCCCGUACACCAAAAUGCACAGGUUGUGAACUCGAAGAGUAGGGCGGGACACGUGGUAUCCUGUCUGAAUAUGGGGGGACCAUCCUCCAAGGCUAAAUACUCCUGACUGACCGAUAGUGAACCAGUACCGUGAGGGAAAGGCGAAAAGAACCCCGGCGAGGGGAGUGAAAAAGAACCUGAAACCGUGUACGUACAAGCAGUGGGAGCACCUUCGGGUGUGACUGCGUACCUUUUGUAUAAUGGGUCAGCGACUUAUAUUCUGUAGCAAGGUUAACCGUAUAGGGGAGCCGCAGGGAAACCGAGUCUUAACUGGGCGUUAAGUUGCAGGGUAUAGACCCGAAACCCGGUGAUCUAGCCAUGGGCAGGUUGAAGGUUGGGUAACACUAACUGGAGGACCGAACCGACUAAUGUUGAAAAAUUAGCGGAUGACUUGUGGCUGGGGGUGAAAGGCCAAUCAAACCGGGAGAUAGCUGGUUCUCCCCGAAAGCUAUUUAGGUAGCGCCUCGUGAACUCAUCUUCGGGGGUAGAGCACUGUUUCGGCUAGGGGGUCAUCCCGACUUACCAACCCGAUGCAAACUACGAAUACCGAAGAAUGUUAUCACGGGAGACACACGGCGGGUGCUAACGUCCGUCGUGAAGAGGGAAACAACCCAGACCGCCAGCUAAGGUCCCAAAGUCAUGGUUAAGUGGGAAACGAUGUGGGAAGGCACAGACAGCCAGGAUGUUGGCUUAGAAGCAGCCAUCAUUUAAAGAAAGCGUAAUAGCUCACUGGUCGAGUCGGCCUGCGCGGAAGAUGUAACGGGGCUAAACCAUGCACCGAAGCUGCGGCAGCGACACUAUGUGUUGUUGGGUAGGGGAGCGUUCUGUAAGCCUGCGAAGGUGUGCUGUGAGGCAUGCUGGAGGUAUCAGAAGUGCGAAUGCUGACAUAAGUAACGAUAAAGCGGGUGAAAAGCCCGCUCGCCGGAAGACCAAGGGUUCCUGUCCAACGUUAAUCGGGGCAGGGUGAGUCGACCCCUAAGGCGAGGCCGAAAGGCGUAGUCGAUGGGAAACAGGUUAAUAUUCCUGUACUUGGUGUUACUGCGAAGGGGGGACGGAGAAGGCUAUGUUAGCCGGGCGACGGUUGUCCCGGUUUAAGCAUGUAGGCUGGUUAUCCAGGCAAAUCCGGAUAAUCAAGGCUGAGGUGUGAUGACGAGGCACUACGGUGCUGAAGUAACAAAUGCCCUGCUUCCAGGAAAAGCCUCUAAGCAUCAGGUAACAUCAAAUCGUACCCCAAACCGACACAGGUGGUCAGGUAGAGAAUACCAAGGCGCUUGAGAGAACUCGGGUGAAGGAACUAGGCAAAAUGGUGCCGUAACUUCGGGAGAAGGCACGCUGGUGUGUAGGUGAAGUCCCUGCGGAUGGAGCUGAGACCAGUCGAAGAUACCAGCUGGCUGCAACUGUUUAUUAAAAACACAGCACUGUGCAAACACGAAAGUGGACGUAUACGGUGUGACGCCUGCCCGGUGCCGGAAGGUUAAUUGAUGGGGUUAUCCGUAAGGAGAAGCUCUUGAUCGAAGCCCCGGUAAACGGCGGCCGUAACUAUAACGGUCCUAAGGUAGCGAAAUUCCUUGUCGGGUAAGUUCCGACCUGCACGAAUGGCGUAAUGAUGGCCAGGCUGUCUCCACCCGAGACUCAGUGAAAUUGAACUCGCUGUGAAGAUGCAGUGUACCCGCGGCAAGACGGAAAGACCCCGUGAACCUUUACUAUAGCUUGACACUGAACAUUGAGCCUUGAUGUGUAGGAUAGGUGGGAGGCUUUGAAGCGUGGACGCCAGUCUGCGUGGAGCCAACCUUGAAAUACCACCCUUUAAUGUUUGAUGUUCUAACGUUGGCCCCUGACCGGGGUUGCGGACAGUGUCUGGUGGGUAGUUUGACUGGGGCGGUCUCCUCCCAAAGCGUAACGGAGGAGCACGAAGGUUAGCUAAUCCUGGUCGGACAUCAGGAGGUUAGUGCAAUGGCAUAAGCUAGCUUGACUGCGAGCGUGACGGCGCGAGCAGGUGCGAAAGCAGGUCAUAGUGAUCCGGUGGUUCUGAAUGGAAGGGCCAUCGCUCAACGGAUAAAAGGUACUCCGGGGAUAACAGGCUGAUACCGCCCAAGAGUUCAUAUCGACGGCGGUGUUUGGCACCUCGAUGUCGGCUCAUCACAUCCUGGGGCUGAAGUAGGUCCCAAGGGUAUGGCUGUUCGCCAUUUAAAGUGGUACGCGAGCUGGGUUUAGAACGUCGUGAGACAGUUCGGUCCCUAUCUGCCGUGGGCGCUGGAGAAUUGAGGGGGGCUGCUCCUAGUACGAGAGGACCGGAGUGGACGCAUCACUGGUGUUCGGGUUGUCAUGCCAAUGGCACUGCCCGGUAGCUAAAUGCGGAAGAGAUAAGUGCUGAAAGCAUCUAAGCACGAAACUUGCCCCGAGAUGAGUUCUCCCUGAGACUAUAAGUCUCCUGAAGGAACGUUAAAGACGAUGACGUUGAUAGGCCGGGUGUGUAAGCGCAGCGAUGCGUUGAGCUAACCGGUACUAAUGAACCGUGAGGCUUAACCUU
Molecule: ribosomal RNA, 2900 nt
Filed under: Klebsiella pneumoniae CHS 55
Lineage: Bacteria; Pseudomonadati; Pseudomonadota; Gammaproteobacteria; Enterobacterales; Enterobacteriaceae
Description: bacterial LSU rRNA
Rfam family: Bacterial large subunit ribosomal RNA
Source: RNAcentral